Molecule: ribosomal RNA, 162 nt
Filed under: Chaetanthera limbata
Lineage: Eukaryota; Viridiplantae; Streptophyta; Magnoliopsida; Asterales; Asteraceae
Description: 5.8S ribosomal RNA
Rfam family: 5.8S ribosomal RNA
About the family: 5.8S ribosomal RNA (5.8S rRNA) is a component of the large subunit of the eukaryotic ribosome. It is transcribed by RNA polymerase I as part of the 45S precursor that also contains 18S and 28S rRNA.
Source: RNAcentral
AACGACUCUCGGCAACGGAUAUCUCGGCUCACGCAUCGAUGAAGAACGUAGCAAAAUGCGAUACUUGGUGUGAAUUGCAGAAUCCCGUGAACCAUCGAGUUUUUGAACGCAAGUUGCGCCCGAAGCCAUUCGGNUGAGGGCACGUCUGCCUGGGCGUCACGC